CCUACGGGUGGCAGCAGUGAGGAAUAUUGGUCAAUGGGCGCGAGCCUGAACCAGCCAAGUCGCGUGAAGGAAGAAUGCUCUACGGUUUGUAAACUUCUUUUAUAAAGGAAUAAAGUGAGGCACGUGUGCCUUUUUGCAUGUAUUUUAUGAAUAAGGAUCGGCUAACUCCGUGCCAGCAGCCGCGGUAAUACGGAGGAUCCGAGCGUUAUCCGGAUUUAUUGGGUUUAAAGGGUGCGUAGGUGGGUUGUUAAGUCAGUUGUGAAAGUUUGCGGCUCAACCGUAAAAUUGCAAUUGAUACUGGCAGCCUUGAGUACAGUUGAGGUAGGCGGAAUGCGUGGUGUAGCGGUGAAAUGCUUAGAUAUCACGAAGAACUCCGAUUGCGAAGGCAGCCUACUAAGCUGCCACUGACAUUGAUGCACGAAAGCGUGGGGAUCAAACAGGAUUAGAUACCCUAGUAGUC
This 460-nucleotide ribosomal RNA is filed under the name uncultured bacterium. RNAcentral describes it as "partial 16S ribosomal RNA". It matches the Rfam family "Bacterial small subunit ribosomal RNA", at positions 338 to 795 of the family's 1533-position model. The record is from RNAcentral.